RNAcentral lists this ribosomal RNA (253 nucleotides) under uncultured bacterium. RNAcentral describes it as "partial 16S ribosomal RNA". It matches the Rfam family "Bacterial small subunit ribosomal RNA", at positions 524 to 776 of the family's 1533-position model. The record is from RNAcentral.
UACGAAGGGUGCAAGCGUUACUCGGAAUUACUGGGCGUAAAGCGUGCGUAGGUGGUUUGUUAAGUCUGUUGUGAAAGCCCCGGGCCCAACCUGGGAAUGGCAAUGGAUACUGGCAAGCUAGAGUGCGGUAGAGGGUAGUGGAAUUCCCGGUGUAGCGGUGAAAUGCGUAGAGAUCGGGAGGAACACCAGUGGCGAAGGCGGCUACCUGGACCAGCACUGACACUGAGGCACGAAAGCGUGGGGAGCAAACAGG